Molecule: ribosomal RNA, 468 nt
Filed under: uncultured bacterium
Lineage: Bacteria
Description: partial 16S ribosomal RNA
Rfam family: Bacterial small subunit ribosomal RNA
Source: RNAcentral
GACGAACGCUGGCGGCGUGCUUAACACAUGCAAGUCGAACGGUGAAGCUCCAGCUUGCUGGCGUGGAUCAGUGGCGAACGGGUGAGUAACACGUGAGCAACCUGCCCCAGACUCUGGAAUAAGCGCUGGAAACGGCGUCUAAUACUGGAUACGAGAUCAAGCCGCAUGGUUAUGGUCUGGAAAGUUGUUCGGUUUGGGAUGGGCUCGCGGCCUAUCAGCUUGUUGGUGAGGUAAUGGCUCACCAAGGCGACGACGGGUAGCCGGCCUGAGAGGGCGACCGGCCACACUGGGACUGAGACACGGCCCAGUCUCCUACGGGAGGCAGCAGUGGGGAAUAUUGCACAAUGGGCGAAAGCCUGAUGCAGCGACGCCGCGUGAGGGAUGACGGCCUUCGGGUUGUAAACCUCUUUCAGCAGGGAAGAAGCGAAAGUGACGGUACCUGCAGAAGAAGCACCGGCUAACUACGUG